CGCACCUUGCGCCCAUUGGUAUUCCGAUGGGCAUGCCCGUUUGAGUGUCGCGAAACCUAUCAACCCUCGGUCUUUGUUGAUCGCAGGGUUGGAUUUGGGGGUAUCCUUUGCUGCCGAACAGGCGGCUCCCCUCGAAUGCGUCGGUUGGGAAAAUGAGCUUCGAAACCGGGCGUUGUAUACACCUCGCUCCAGUAGUAAGAGUUUGUUAGAAUUGCCCUUCCUCGACUUUGGCCUUUGGAGUGGCCGGUCACCAUUUGACUUCUGACCUCAAAUCGGGUAGGACUACCCGCUGAACUUAA
Molecule: unclassified non-coding RNA, 299 nt
Filed under: Sporidiobolales sp.
Lineage: Eukaryota; Fungi; Basidiomycota; Microbotryomycetes; Sporidiobolales
Description: partial contains 5.8S ribosomal RNA, internal transcribed spacer 2, and large subunit ribosomal RNA
Source: RNAcentral